GACGAACGCUGGCGGCGUGCUUAACACAUGCAAGUCGAACGAUGAAGCCGGAGCUUGCUCUGGUGAAUUAGUGGCGAACGGGUGAGUAACACGUGAGUAACCUGCCCUUGACUCUGGGAUAACUGCGGGAAACUGUAGCUAAUACCGGAUACGACCCUCGGAGGCAUCUCCUGGGGGUGGAAAGAAUUUCGGUCAAGGAUGGACUCGCGGCCUAUCAGCUAGUGGGUGAGGUAAAGGCUCACCAAGGCGACGACGGGUAGCCGGCCUGAGAGGGUGACCAGCCACACUGGGACUGAGACACGGCCCAGACUCCUACGGGAGGCAGCAGUGGGGAAUAUUGCACAAUGGGCGCAAGCCUGAUGCAGCAACGCCGCGUGAGGGAUGACGGCCUUCGGGUUGUAAACCUCUUUUAGCAGGGAAGAAGCGAAAGUGACGGUACCUGCAGAAAAAGCACCGGCUAACUACGUGCCAGCAGCCGCAGUAA
Molecule: ribosomal RNA, 484 nt
Filed under: uncultured bacterium
Lineage: Bacteria
Description: partial 16S ribosomal RNA
Rfam family: Bacterial small subunit ribosomal RNA
Source: RNAcentral